AUAUUAAAGUUGUUGCAGUUAAAAAGCUCGUAGUUGAAUUUCGGGAUCAAAUUGUCGGUCGUGCCUCGGUACGCACUGGUAUUAUUGGUUCCUACCUUCUGAAGAACCGCGAUGUCAUUAAUUUGGUGUCGUGGGGAAUCAGGACUGUUACUUUGAAAAAAUUAGAGUGUUUAAAGCAGGCUUACGCUUGAAUACAUUAGCAUGGAAUAAUGAAAUAGGACGUUUGAUUCUAUUUUGUUGGUUUCUAGGAUUGACGUAAUGAUUAAUAGGGAUAGUUGGGGGCAUUAGUAUUCAAUUGUCAGAGGUGAAAUUCUUGGAUUUAUUGAAGACUAACUACUGCGAAAGCAUUUGCCAAGGAUGUUUUCAUUAAUCAAGAACGAAAGUUAGGGGAUCGAAGACGAUCAGAUACCGUCGUAGUCUUAACCAUAAACUAUGCCGACUAGGGAUCGGAUGAUGUUAAUUUUUUAAUGACUCAUUCGGCGCCUUACGGG
This 491-nucleotide ribosomal RNA is filed under the name uncultured Glomus. RNAcentral describes it as "SSU rRNA". It matches the Rfam family "Eukaryotic small subunit ribosomal RNA", at positions 601 to 1094 of the family's 1831-position model. The record is from RNAcentral. Lineage: Eukaryota; Fungi; Glomeromycota; Glomeromycetes; Glomerales; Glomeraceae.